Molecule: non-coding RNA, 708 nt
Organism: Paramuricea clavata
Lineage: Eukaryota; Metazoa; Cnidaria; Anthozoa; Malacalcyonacea; Plexauridae
Source: the annotation of a GenBank genome assembly
GUAAAAGUUAACAAUAUCCAAGUAAAUUAUAGCUACAAAACGAAAAAGCACAACAGUAAUAAAGUAAUCACUCCAGCGGAAUAUUUUUAGUGAGAUGAAUUAUAAAUCAUUUCCUUAUAUAUUAUUUCCUUAUAAUCAUUUCCUCCUAUAGAGACGCUGGUAGAUAUGCCACCAUAUUGAACAUUUUUAUUGCCAUUGGUUGCAUGUGUUUGUGUAUUUCUGGCGUUCUUUAUGGACUACGAGUCAUGAAUGAACUGGACGAUGAAACAGAAAAGACAUGUUUGGUAAAUAUUUGAAAUUACUACAAAAAUACAAUAUUAUAAACCGUUAGCUGAAGUCUUACUGUGCCAAAUGAUGGCUGAACACCCUGGGGUAACUUUAAACUGGGGUAACUUUUUGUUCAACUUUAAAACAUGCCACACAAACCAAUAACCGUCUAUCGUUUGGUGUUGGGACAUAUGAAUUGUGUGUUACGUGAGUGCGAUAUGUAACAUACAAGAGAAUGUGUAUCCUAUAAGGUGAUAUGUUGUGCUACGAAGAUCCUCUGCCGAACAACAGCCGAGUUAUAACAACUGGGAUUGUUACUUUUGUGACUUUUUUUCAUAGAGUCAACUAGGAUUGACAUCUAUUGGAUUGACUUUGGUACUUGGUGCUAUCAUCUCGAAAUUACUUGGAAUCCUUGUGAUGCGCGACAAACAAAAAACUAUG